Molecule: ribosomal RNA, 253 nt
Filed under: uncultured bacterium
Lineage: Bacteria
Description: partial 16S ribosomal RNA
Rfam family: Bacterial small subunit ribosomal RNA
Source: RNAcentral
UACGAAGGGGGCUAGCGUUGCUCGGAAUUACUGGGCGUAAAGGGCGCGUAGGCGGCCUUAUAAGUCGAACGUGAAAUCCCCGGGCUCAACCCGGGAACUGCGUCCGAUACUGGAAGGCUUGAAUCCGGGAGAGGGAUGCGGAAUUCCAGGUGUAGCGGUGAAAUGCGUAGAUAUCUGGAGGAACACCGGUGGCGAAGGCGGCAUCCUGGACCGGUAUUGACGCUGAGGCGCGAAAGCCAGGGGAGCAAACGGG